UUUAAAAGAAAGAAAUAUCAGUUAAAAGAUAAAAAAGACAUUUUUUUUGGACUGAAAUUGUAAGGGACACUACGAGAAAAAAAAAAAAAAAAAAAGACUAACACGGGGCUCUCAUUAGGAGAAGGAUAAAAAUAAGGAUUUUUUAGAAAAAUCAUCAUAAUAUUAUUAUAUUAUAUACAUUAUAAGUUUCUUGAUUUCACUGUUC
RNAcentral lists this long non-coding RNA (205 nucleotides) under Musa acuminata (dwarf banana). Its description in RNAcentral is "long non-coding RNA (MACU_LNC007164)". The record is from RNAcentral. Lineage: Eukaryota; Viridiplantae; Streptophyta; Magnoliopsida; Zingiberales; Musaceae.